RNAcentral lists this ribosomal RNA (250 nucleotides) under uncultured bacterium. RNAcentral describes it as "partial 16S ribosomal RNA". It matches the Rfam family "Bacterial small subunit ribosomal RNA", at positions 524 to 773 of the family's 1533-position model. The record is from RNAcentral.
GACGAGGGGUGCGAGCGUUAUUCGGAAUUAUUGGGCGUAAAGGGUGUGUAGACGGCAUAUUAAGUCUGUUGUUAAAUCUCCCGGCUUAACCGGGAAUCAGCAGUGGAUACUGAUGUGCUAGAGGGUGGAAGAGAGAAGUGGAAUUCUCGGAGUAGCGGUAAAAUGCGUAGAUCUCGAGAGGAACACCAAUGGCGAAGGCAGCUUCUUGGUCCAUUUCUGACGUUGAAACACGAAAGCGUGGGGAGCAAAC